UACGAAGGGGGCUAGCGUUGUUCGGAAUCACUGGGCGUAAAGGGCGCGUAGGCGGCUUUAUAAGUCGGGGGUGAAAGCCUGUGGCUCAACCACAGAAUUGCCUUCGAUACUGUAGAGCUUGAGACCGGAAGAGGUAAGUGGAACUGCGAGUGUAGAGGUGAAAUUCGUAGAUAUUCGCAAGAACACCAGUGGCGAAGGCGGCUUACUGGUCCGGUUCUGACGCUGAGGCACGAAAGCGUGGGGAGCAAACAGG
This 253-nucleotide ribosomal RNA is filed under the name uncultured bacterium. RNAcentral describes it as "partial 16S ribosomal RNA". It matches the Rfam family "Bacterial small subunit ribosomal RNA", at positions 524 to 776 of the family's 1533-position model. The record is from RNAcentral.